RNAcentral lists this microRNA (20 nucleotides) under Lotus japonicus. RNAcentral's name for it is "lja-miR7526i-3p". The record is from miRBase by way of RNAcentral. Lineage: Eukaryota; Viridiplantae; Streptophyta; Magnoliopsida; Fabales; Fabaceae.
UGAUAGCGGACGUUACAGCU